AACGGACCAUACGCGCAGCUUGCUGCGUGUAUGGUUAGUGGCAGACGGGUGAGUAAUGCAUAGGAAUCUACCUAGUAGUAUAGGAUAGCCACUAGAAAUGGUGGGUAAUACUGUAUAAUCCCUGCGGGGGAAAGAUUUAUCGCUAUUAGAUGAGCCUAUGUCAGAUUAGCUAGUUGGUGGGGUAAUGGCCUACCAAGGCGGUGAUCUGUAGCUGGUCUGAGAGGAUGAUCAGCCACACUGGAACUGAGACACGGUCCAGACUCCUACGGGAGGCAGCAGUGGGGAAUAUUGGACAAUGGGCGCAAGCCUGAUCCAGCUAUGCCGCGUGAGUGAGGAAGGCCUUAGGGUUGUAAAACUCUUUCAGUAGGGAAGAUAAUGACGGUACCUACAGAAGAAGUCCCGGCAAACUCCGUGCCAGCAGCCGCGGUAAU
This 431-nucleotide ribosomal RNA is filed under the name uncultured Anaplasma sp. RNAcentral's name for it is "bacterial SSU rRNA". It matches the Rfam family "Bacterial small subunit ribosomal RNA", at positions 65 to 524 of the family's 1533-position model. Lineage: Bacteria; Pseudomonadati; Pseudomonadota; Alphaproteobacteria; Rickettsiales; Anaplasmataceae. The record is from RNAcentral.